RNAcentral lists this ribosomal RNA (876 nucleotides) under uncultured Alphaproteobacteria bacterium. RNAcentral's name for it is "bacterial SSU rRNA". It matches the Rfam family "Bacterial small subunit ribosomal RNA", at positions 56 to 980 of the family's 1533-position model. The record is from RNAcentral. Lineage: Bacteria; Pseudomonadati; Pseudomonadota; Alphaproteobacteria.
UGCAAGUCGAACGAAGUAGCAAUACUUAGUGGCAGACGGGUGAGUAACAUGUGGGUAUCUACCCUUUGGCCUGGAAUAACACGAGGAAACUUGUGCUAAUACCGGAUAAGUCUUUACGGAGAAAGCUUUAUGCACCAUUGGAUGAGCCCGCACUUGAUUAGUUAGUUGGUGGGGUAAUGGCCUACCAAGACUGUGAUCAAUAGCUGAUUUGAGAGGAUGAUCAGCCACAUUGGGACUGAGACACGGCCCAAACUCCUACGGGAGGCAGCAGUGGGGAAUCUUGCACAAUGGAGGAAACUCUGAUGCAGCGAUGCCGCGUGAGUGAAGAAGGCCCUUGGGUUGUAAAGCUCUUUCGUCGGGGAAGAAAAUGACUGUACCCGAAUAAGAAGGUCCGGCUAACUUCGUGCCAGCAGCCGCGGUAAUACGAAGGGACCUAGCGUAGUUCGGAAUUACUGGGCUUAAAGAGUUCGUAGGUGGUUGAAAAAGUUAGUGGUGAAAUCCCAGAGCUUAACUCUGGAACUGCCAUUAAAACUUUUCAGCUAGAGUAUGAUAGAGGAAAGCAGAAUUUCUAGUGUAGAGGUGAAAUUCGUAGAUAUUAGAAAGAAUACCAAUUGCGAAGGCAGCUUUCUGGAUCAUUACUGACACUGAGGAACGAAAGCAUGGGUAGCGAAGAGGAUUAGAUACCCUCGUAGUCCAUGCCGUAAACGAUGUGUGUUAGACGUUGGAAAUUUAUUUUCAGUGUCGCAGCGAAAGCGAUAAACACACCGCCUGGGGAGUACGACCGCAAGGUUAAAACUCAAAUGAAUUGACGGGGACCCGCACAAGUAGUGGAGCAUGUGGUUUAAUUCGAAGAUACGCGCAGAACCUUACCAACAC